Non-coding RNA from Caenorhabditis elegans, 213 nucleotides. The record is from Ensembl. NCBI's taxonomy places the organism in Eukaryota, Metazoa, Nematoda, Chromadorea, Rhabditida, Rhabditidae.
GGUAGGCGGCGCCGUCCCGUCAGUUUGGGUCACACCAUAUCCAAACUGUGGAGAACAAUGAAAUCGAGGAGAGCGGAUCGGUUGGGAGGAGAAGGCCUCUCUUCUCUUCUAGGCCACCUAAUUCCGAAGGCCGUUUCAGAAAAGGAGGAGGAUUCGUAACAAUUGCCACACGGAUUACUGUACUUACCCUAUUUGCGUUCUGGUAAUUAUACA